UAUGUUGCUCGCCCGAAGGGCCAGGGUUACUGAGGUGGGGGCGGGGGUGGAGCCUUGGGUUUCCAUUCAGUUCCUUCUGCUCUCCUUCCCCUCCGUGGCCCCAAGCAGGGACCUCUCCUCCCUGGGGCUUGACCCAGUGGCUGGAGGGAGGGAGGGGCCUGUCUGAAUUCACCCUCUGCACUGCUGCACCUGGAGCUGCUGCUGCGCCCAGGGUUCUUGGGUGCACCGGUAAAGGCGAGCAGCUGGUGGGUCAGAGGGAGGAGGCAAAGGGAAAUGAAAUGCUCCAAGCCCUCUCAAGGCAGAGAUUGGCAUCUUCCAGCAUUGAAGAGGCACUGUUGGGCGGGUGAGGCCUUCGGGAGGAAACAAACGCGGUCCGGCCCUGCCACCUGUCCAGGGGCUUAGCCCAGAACCCCAGAAUCUGCUUUGAUGCCCCCGGGUCUGCAGGCAGACUUUGCUCUCGAAGGCACCUGAGUCUCACCUCCUUGGCCGUCAGCUUGGCACAAGUUACCCUGGCUGCUCCCCAGACUGUUCCCAUGGCCUGGCCCUGGCCGGGGACUCCCACUCUGCUUGCGGUCCUGAAGACAGCCAGAGAGGCCUUUGAGAGUGGAAGGCAGACACCAUAUGCCACCGCCCCCAGCUGACACUCAUAGGGGCUGCCCCUCAUGCUCUGGAUAAAACUCCGACUGGCUACUGUGCCUCUUUGGGUCUCCCCGGCCCAGGCCUGGCCAGGGGUUCCAGCCUUCACCAGGGGAAGGAGCAUCUGUGAGUCCAGGGAGUGUGCCUGGCCCAAUGCCUCUGCCCAGGGCCUUUGUGCCUGCCGUCCCCUCCCCAAUUCCACGCCUCCUGUUGCCCUCCGCAGAGGCACCUCUCCCGUGACCUCCAAGCACACCACCCACUAAAUCUCCGCCCUUCCUCUGCCUGCCUGCCCUCCCAGCACAGCCACUCUGUCCGCUCAGGCUCCUGAGCUGCUUACUUGUUCACCUGUCUUCUGCUGGAGACCAGGGAGCCCUCCCCUCGCUGGCUGUGGGGUCUGGGAACAAAGCAGUCUUAAUAAAUACUUCUCGAAAGAAUGGAGUAUGUGGUUGAAUAAAUAAGUCCCAGACAGGAGUUCCUUCUAAAAUGGUCUAGUUCAGGCUUCUCAGUUGCAGGUGGGGAAACUGAGGCCCUGAGCGGGCGGAGGUGGAGGGAAGUUGAGUGGCCCUGCCUGCAUCUCCCACCAGCGCUACCUCGCAUCCUCCUACAGCAUGCGAG
Molecule: long non-coding RNA, 1251 nt
Filed under: Homo sapiens (human)
Lineage: Eukaryota; Metazoa; Chordata; Mammalia; Primates; Hominidae
Description: HSALNT0068288
Source: RNAcentral